RNAcentral lists this transfer RNA (69 nucleotides) under Rhizomys sinensis (Chinese bamboo rat). RNAcentral describes it as "tRNA-Ser". It matches the Rfam family "tRNA". Rfam says of the family: Transfer RNA (tRNA) molecules are approximately 80 nucleotides in length. Their secondary structure includes four short double-helical elements and three loops (D, anti-codon, and T loops). Lineage: Eukaryota; Metazoa; Chordata; Mammalia; Rodentia; Spalacidae. The record is from RNAcentral.
AAGAGAGAUACAGAGGUUGUGGUGUUGGCUUGAAACCAAUUUUUGGGGGUUCGAUUCCUUCCUCUCUUA